This is a small nucleolar RNA of Marmota marmota marmota (Alpine marmot), 126 nucleotides long. The record is from Ensembl. NCBI's taxonomy places the organism in Eukaryota, Metazoa, Chordata, Mammalia, Rodentia, Sciuridae.
GGUCCCCUGAUGCUUACCACAGGCUCUGUUCUUACACUGACUGUAUAGCAAGAGGAGGCAGAGUAAGUCUACCCCAUGUAUACCUCAGCCCAGUGCCUGGUCUGCAUUGUGAAUGGGGAAAUAUGG